GAUGAACGCUAGCUACAGGCUUAACACAUGCAAGUUGAGGGGCAGCAUGGUCUUAGCUUGCUAAGGCCGAUGGCGACCGGCGCACGGGUGAGUAACACGUAUCCAACCUGCCGUCUACUCUUGGACAGCCUUCUGAAAGGAAGAUUAAUACAAGAUGGCAUCAUGAGUCCGCAUGUUCACAUGAUUAAAGGUAUUCCGGUAGACGAUGGGGAUGCGUUCCAUUAGAUAGUAGGCGGGUAACGGCCCACCUAGUCUUCGAUGGAUAGGGGUUCUGAGAGGAAGGUCCCCANAUUGGAACUGAGACACGGUCCAAAACUCCUACGGGAGGCAGCAGUGAGGAAUAUUGGUCAAUGGGGCGAGAGCCUGAACCAGCCAAAGUAGCGUGAAGGAUGACUGCCCUAAUGGGGUUGUAAAACCUUUCUUUUUAAUAAAAGGAAUAAAGUCGGGUAUGGAUACCCGUUUGCAUGUAC
Molecule: ribosomal RNA, 470 nt
Filed under: uncultured bacterium
Lineage: Bacteria
Description: bacterial SSU rRNA
Rfam family: Bacterial small subunit ribosomal RNA
Source: RNAcentral